CCUACGGGUGGCAGCAGUGGGGAAUAUUGCACAAUGGGGGAAACCCUGAUGCAGCGACGCCGCGUGAGUGAAGAAGUUCUUCGGCAUGUAAAGCUCUAUCGGCAGGGAAGAAGAUGACGGUAGCGUGACAAGAAGCCCCGGCCAACUUCGUGCCAGCAGCCGCGGUAAUACGUAGGGGGCGAGCGUUAUUCGGAUUUACUGGGGGUAAAGGGAGUGUAGACGGCUAAGCAAGACAGAGGUGAAAUGCCGUGGCCCAACCCCGGAACUGCCAUUGGGACUGUGAAGCUGGAGUGGAGGAGGGGAUAGCGGAAUACCCGGUGUAGCGGUGAAAUGCGUAGAUAUUAGGAGGAACACCGGUGGCGAAGGCGGCUUUCUGGACUGUGACUGACGUUGAGGCUCGAAAGCGUGGGGAGCAAACAGGAUUAGAUACCCCAGUAGUC
RNAcentral lists this ribosomal RNA (440 nucleotides) under uncultured bacterium. RNAcentral describes it as "partial 16S ribosomal RNA". It matches the Rfam family "Bacterial small subunit ribosomal RNA", at positions 338 to 795 of the family's 1533-position model. The record is from RNAcentral.